UCACUCCGCCGUCCAUAGCAACGCCGUUGCUAAGGACGACGUUUUCGCGGGCGGCGGGCUGAAAUUUCAUCCGAGUUGUUGACAGCCGAUUACAUCACCAGUUUCGGCCUCUGCGUCAAGAUGGCGAUCAUCCUAGGCUUCACCGACUGUAAAAUUGGUGAAAGUCAUGCCCAACAGGAUUGUCACCAGCAGGAUACCAGGAUGUUAUAUUUAGCUUGAGAUUAUGGAUAUAUAUAUAAGAUGUAUUAUGUACAGAGAUCUUAAUUCCCAUUUAUUUUGUUUAUUGUAAUGUUAAUACAAUUUGGGAGCGUAUUUAAUAUUCGAUUCAGCAUCCAAUGUCUACUCUAACUUUCAAGCAUGUGUUAAGUUAUAUAUGUACUGUAAAAGAUCCACAAUGUAAUGAGACUUUGAUAUCACAAGUAUUUGAUAUCCCAAUCCACAACAAAAUGUACUACUUCGUUAUUUGGUAAUGAGAUAAAUGUUAAAGCAACCUUAAUGGCUCUUUGGUAAUUUUGUGUAUAAUUGAUUAAUCAAUAUAAAGGACAAUUAACAUGUAUGUGAGAGAGAUAUGUUUAGGGAUUUCCCAAGGCCCAGCACUUUUAGAAAUAAACAAGUGCUACUCUGUAAAACUAGG
Branchiostoma belcheri (Belcher's lancelet) is the source of this 634-nucleotide long non-coding RNA. RefSeq lists it as uncharacterized. The transcript is spliced from 3 exons. Lineage: Eukaryota; Metazoa; Chordata; Leptocardii; Amphioxiformes; Branchiostomatidae. The record is from RefSeq and is a predicted model, not a curated record.